GGAGAUAUGGCUCAGUGGUUAAGAGCACUGACUGCUCUUCCAGAGGUCCUGAGUUCAAUUCCCAGCAACACAU
Molecule: transfer RNA, 73 nt
Filed under: Mus musculus (house mouse)
Lineage: Eukaryota; Metazoa; Chordata; Mammalia; Rodentia; Muridae
Description: tRNA-Ser
Source: RNAcentral